This is a non-coding RNA of Henosepilachna vigintioctopunctata, 74 nucleotides long. The record is from the annotation of a GenBank genome assembly. Lineage: Eukaryota; Metazoa; Arthropoda; Insecta; Coleoptera; Coccinellidae.
ACCAACGGUAGCUUAGUUGGUAGAGCAACAGGGCGUAAACCUGAGAGACCUGGGUUCGUAUCCCAGUCGAGGUU